GUCACAGAACGAGACUCUAAAUGCUGCUGCAUCACACACAGCACAGACGAGAGAAAGAGGGAGAGAAAGAGCGUGUGAGAGAAGAAACAGAAGAACAAAAAGUCUGAAAAGCGUUAAAUGUCGAAGCCGAGAGAGAGAGAUCGUGAGCACCGGGAAGCAGUAUGAAGCUUGUUCUGUCUGAGCUUUUUUAAGCUUCAUAGUGAAGAUGCAGCAGCACCACCUUCUGGUAACAGCAAGUAUGAGUAAAGAAGACACCAGAGAGGGACAGAGUUGAACUGUAAGUCACAGCGCGGGAAUACCACAAGCCUCUGCCACGCCCACCAAACUACACCUCACAUGGCCAACAUAUGCCUUGGGACGAGGGAUGGAGGCCGAGACUCAGAGAAAAAGUGUAGGAGAAGAAAAGGCGGGAAAAACGACACGCUAUUCGGCUUACAGUAGCCUUGUGCUGCCUCAUGUAGUAGUGGUCACUGACAGCAUGAUCUCUCAAUCAUCACAGCAUGUGUGUUUUAUGUAAUGGGCUACACUUCAUAGAAACAUGCUGACUGAGAAACAGAUGUAACGCUGGCUAUGUUCACAGUGUCUGGGCGAGACAAAAGUUCCCAAAAACAAAACUAUCUUGCAAA
Molecule: long non-coding RNA, 626 nt
Organism: Puntigrus tetrazona (Sumatra barb)
Lineage: Eukaryota; Metazoa; Chordata; Actinopteri; Cypriniformes; Cyprinidae
Exons: 3
Source: RefSeq, a predicted model, not a curated record